RNAcentral lists this ribosomal RNA (424 nucleotides) under uncultured bacterium. Its description in RNAcentral is "partial 16S ribosomal RNA". It matches the Rfam family "Bacterial small subunit ribosomal RNA", at positions 360 to 776 of the family's 1533-position model. The record is from RNAcentral.
AAUAUUGGACAAUGGGCGAAAGCCUGAUCCAGCCAUGCCGCGUGUGUGAAGUAGGUCUUCGGAUUGUAAAGCACUUUAAGUUGGGAGGAAGGGUUGUAGGUUAAUACCCAUCAAUUUUGACGUUACAUACAGAAUACGCACCGGCUCACUUCGUGCCAGCCGCCGCGGUAAUACGAAGGGUGCAAGCGUUAAUCGGAAUUACUGGGCGUAAAGCGCGCGUAGGUGGUUCGUUAAGUUGGAAGUGAAAGCCCCGGGCUUAACCUGGGAAUUGCUAUCAAAACUGACGAGCUAGAGUACGGUAGAUGGUAGUGGAAUUUCCUGUGUAGCGGUGAAAUGCGUAGAUAUAGGAAGGAACAUCAGUGGCAAAGGCGACUACCUGGACUGAUACUGACACUGAGGUGCGAAAGCGUGGGGAGCAAACAGG